Molecule: ribosomal RNA, 375 nt
Filed under: Maymena kehen
Lineage: Eukaryota; Metazoa; Arthropoda; Arachnida; Araneae; Mysmenidae
Description: partial large subunit ribosomal RNA
Rfam family: Bacterial large subunit ribosomal RNA
Source: RNAcentral
UAAUAGCCGCAGAAAUUUAACUGUGCUAAGGUAGCAUAAUCAUUAGCCCUUUAAUUGGGGGCUCGCAUGAAAGACCUAACAUUUUAAUCUCUCUCUCAACGUCCCCAUUAAACUUAUAUUAAAUAUAAAAAUAUAUUUAUUAGUAUAAAAGACGACAAGACCCUGUCGAACUUCCCUUUAGUUCAGCUGGGGCAGCUAUUUAAUAAUUAUUUUAACCCCCCCCCCCCCANAUAAACACCUACUAAAAGUAAACCAAACAAGUUACCACAGGGAUAACAGCGUAAUUUUAUCCCCAAGCUCUUAUAAACUAUAAAGAUUACGACCUCGAUGUUGAAUUAAUNUCCCUUUGCCGCGCAAAAGCAACAAAAGGAGGUC